UUCUUAUAAUCGAGGAAGAAGCAAAGAGGAAUCACUACAGAGGGUGACUAGAAGUGGGAAAAUAACGGCUUGAAGAAUCUAAAACAAGGUGGAAUCUUUAUAGAAACUCAGCAAAUCAGGUAAUAUGCAAAAGCCCUACUUUUUUCUUUCUUUAAUAGACUUUUUAGCCUUUUUGUGUGAAUUUGGAUGUCCGAACUUGUAGUUUGGGUUCUUAAAUGUGUAUUUCUAUAGCUGUGAUGGAAUACAUUGCAUGUGGUCCUUAUGUUGGUUUACUGUUGGAUUGAUUGCGACCAAAUUUUGUUAUUUGUCCUUUUCAUGCUAUAAUUGGAUUGUUUGUAGCUUUCUUUACAAGAUUCUAUUGUGUUGAACAUGGGUCGGUGUCUGGUAGUGUGUUUUAAGCUUAUUAUUACGAAUUAUAGUAUGUUAACUAAGUUCAAUAAAGGUACUUUUGUGGUCCCUCACACGUAUUAUUAUUUUUUCGUCGCAUACCAAUGUGGUCAUCGCAAUUGCAAAAUAUGUUCUUAUUCGAAGUCUAUUAUGGGGGCCAUUUUGUAUAUAAUCCAGGACUAACAUAUGUGGUUUGGAAUAUAAAAUAUUUCAAUGAUAUUGACCCAAAUUAUAUGUCAAGAUUUGAGAUUUGGGGGAUGCUAAAAGGACUACAACUGCCCAUAAAUACCUAAGUUUGAUAUAAAAUGCCAAAUGAUGAAUUUGCCUUACUAAAAGUGAAGCAGCAGUCAUGAAAAUGUUUGGGAUGUUUAGGGAUGAACCAUACAUUCAUAUCUAUGUCGGAGAGUUAAAUGAUAAUGGGGAUGUAGAAAAAAAAAUAAUGAGGAUGAGUAAGAUGGUAAUGAAACUAUAGGUAAUGGCAAUAUGAAUGCUAAUUAGGGAGUUGGGAAUGACAAUGGUAGUUUAGGGGCUGAUGGGUUAAUUAAAAUCUUGAACCAGAGAUUAUGAUGUGAAUGAAUCAGAAACAGAAUCUGAUGAAUCAUACGCACCUAAAAGUGAGCAAUCUUCUGAAUAUGACUCAAACUUUGAUUAUUUCUUAGAUGGGGACACAUUAAGUGAUGGCUAUGAUAUUGAUGAUGAUCCUAAUGAGGUAACUAGUGGGUUGGAUAACAAUAUUAAUUUAGGACAAUACCAAUAAUAUGCUGAGUUAAUUAGUUAUCAGUAUAGAGCUUUUGAUGAGAUUAGGAAAGAGAGUAAGUUCGUUGAGCCUGAAAAUAUUGUUGAUGCUAAAGUACUAGAAACUGUCAUUCAAUCCUCUGAUGAUGAAAAUAGAGAACAAUUUCUUGAGUUUAAUGAGGAAAGAGACAUGGCUGAUCCUAAAUUUGUGGUAGGCCUCCUUUUUCACAACCACACGUGUUCAAGAAGGCAAUUCAGAUAUAUUCCAUCCUUAGAGGUUUGGAGUUGAAGUUCCAAAAAAAUGAUAGUAACAAAAUCAUUGCAAUAUGUAAAAGAGAAUGUGGUUGGAGGAUAUAUGCAAGUUAUUAUAGGAAAACUAAAACAUUGUAGGUCAAGAGUAUAAAGGGCCCCCUCAUAGAUAUCAUUGGUCUUAUAAGAAUGUUAGUGUCAAUUCUAGAUGGUUGGCUGAAUACUGCAAAAAGGAAUUGGCUGAUGAUCCUGACUGGGGACUUAAGGGAUUUCAAAAGACAACUAAAAAAAAAGUUCAAAUUAAGAGUUUUUAGGUGGAAGGUGUAUAGGACCAAGAAACAUGCACUUUUUAAAAUGUUGAGGGAUCAUAAGAAACAGUAUUCCAGACUUAGAAAUUAUUGUGCAACCAUUAUGCUGAAAAAUCCUAGUUCUGCAGCCUAUGUAAUGAUAGAAAUUGUUCCAACCUCUGUCAAUCCUAUAUUUCAGGAAAUGUUUGUUAUGUUUGGGCACAAAAGGAUGGAUUUAUCAGUGGCUGCAGACCAGUUAUAGGUUUAGAUGCUUGCCAUCUCAAAGGAAGAUUUGGGAGACAUCUAAUACAUGUUGUUGAGAGGGAUGAAACUAAUUAGAUGUAUCCUAUAGUAAUGGCAUAUGUGGAAUCUGAAUGUAAGCAAAACUAGCAUUGGUUUCUAGAACUUCUGGCUACUCAUAUUGAAUCAACAGCUAACAUGAAUUGGGUGUUCAUUUUUUACAGACAAAAGGUAAACUUGCCAUUUAUUUUUUCCAACAUUCAUAUAUUAGUUUAUUACUACUAUAAAAUUAAACCCAAUCUGAUUGAUAGUGUUGCUGUUUUGUAGGAUCUGGUAGAGACAUUUGAUAUGUUGUUUUCUAGGGUGGGAACAUAGGUUCUGUGUUAAACAUAUGUAUGCCAAUUUCAAACUUAGGUUUAAGGACAAAGCACUUAGAGAUAUCAUGUGGGCUGCUGCGAGGGCAUAUGAGACAGAUGGUUGGACACAAAAGAAGACAGAACUCCAGGUUGCUCGUAGGGAAGCUUAUGACUGGUUAAGUGCAAUUCCAGCUAAUCUUUGGUCAAGGUGUAUGUUCAAUCCAAGAUCAAAGUACGAUCUUUUGAGCAACAACAUUUGUAAAUCCUUAAACCAAUAUAUUAAGGAAGCAAGGGAGGAGCCAAUUUUAUCUAUGUUUGAUUAGAAAGUUUAUUAUGUGUAGAUACCUAGAAAAUAGAGAAUUCAUAUCUAAGGUCAAGGGAAAAAUUUGUCCAAGAAUCCAUGACAAGGUGGAGGAAAUUAAAGCACGAGCAGUGGAAUAUGAAGCUGUUCAAAUAGGUCAAGGCAUAUGGGAGAUCACAGGCUAUGCAAGACACAAAAUUAUUAACCUGAAUGUAAGAAUUUAUACUUGUAGAGAAUGGGAUAUAACUGGUGUUCCUUGUGUACAUGCAUGUGUAGCAAUUUUAGAUUUUGAUCAAGAACCAGGAGACCUUGUCCAUCCAUACUAUAGUGUAGAGUACUAUUGUGGAGCUUAUAAGAGUAUGAUGGUUCCUAUUCCAGAAGACAGCCUAUGGGUUCAAAUAGGUGGAUUCCCAUUCAACCACCAAAACUAAGGAGAAGACCUAACAGACCAAGAAAGCUAUAAAGAAAAAGUGUAGAUGAGCUAGUGAAUGGUGAUGUGGUAUCCAGAAAGGGUACUAUAGCCCACUGUAGCAACUGUAAUACGCCUGGUCGUAAUAAGAAGACAUGCAAACAACCAAGACAGGUUGUGUAUGAUGCCUUAAAUUGUGUUUAAUAAUUUCUUUACUAGUUUAUUUACUAAUUUGGUUACUUUUGUAGGAUGAAGGUGUCACUCAAACAAGAAGGGCAAGAGGUACAGCCCCACAAAAAAAUGUUGGUGGAAGACUGAGAACAGUUAAUGUGGACACACAGAGUACUAAUGUCAAUGUAACCAGUAGUAAUGGAAGAGGUAAUGGAAGGGGAAUAGGUAAUGGUAGGGAAAAAGUAAUGGUAGGGGAGUGGAAUCAUCAGCUAGAGGUGGGGGAAGAGGGAAAAGAGGGAGAGGUGCAUUUUCAGGAUGUCCUCCACCGCUUUCUGGAUUUGGAAAUUAGAAUGGUAUUGACAUGUCCGAUGACAGAAACUUCAUCCCAACUGAUGUGGUAAUCUAAUAUUAUCUUAGGCAUUAUGUAUAUUUUUAGACUUUGUCAUUUUUAACUUGUACUAAUGUCUUUCUCAUUAAUGGCAAGUGGCAAGGGUGGCCAUGCAACCUCAUAACAUUUUUGAAGCCCGGACAGUUCAAAUGGUAGGUAUUUAAGCUGUAUUUUUGUACACUUUUGCUUAAUUUCAGCUACAUUUUAACUAACUAAUGUUAUAUGUAACUAGUGGACAAAUGAUCCCCUGACUGGAGGCUCAAAAUUGAGCACUAAUACCAAUGCUAAUGAUAGUAGUAUACCCAUUACUCAAGUAUAUAUUGUUAUUGCAGUUCAUAUACAAUUCACAGGCAAGAUAAAGUAUAUAUACAUGACCAAUAUCUUGUUUUUAUUUGUACCAGAUCCAAAGGCAUUCAACAAGAUUUGGUGAUAUUUUGUUCUCCAGUUAAUCUUCCAGCACUAGAACAUGUGUACACCAAAACUCUCAGGUACCACCUAAUAAAGGUUCAUCUAACUAUUAGGAUGAUAAUAUAGCCCGUAAAGGAUAUAUUCCUCUUUAUAAUGGAUACAUACUUUUGAAGAAUUUAGACAACAGAUAUGGUCUUUUUUGUUUGGUUGAACACUAGAAUAUGAUAUUUUGGUAUUUUGUAUUAGUAAGGUGAAAGAUACUCUUCCUGUUAGUUUAUGCAGUAUGCUUUAUAGUAUUUCAUCAAUGAACUAUGGAUUGGUUUAUGAAGUUACUACCUUUGCUCUUUCUAUUGUUAUGCUGCUUAUUUUUUCUAUAGUGCUUUCUUUUUUUCCCUAACAUGAAACCAACACUGUGGUGCUUUUUACAACAAACCAUAAUUUUAUACUAAUUUAAAAGAUUCAUAUUACUUGGUAUUCAUAGCAAUAGGACCGUCAAUAGGGCUGGACUAGCCUGAGCUCGGCUCGUUUGGCCCGACAAAAGCCCGAUGAGCCCGACCUUUUAGUGAAUCGGUCUGAGUUUGAACCUAAAAAUUAGGUUAGAAUUAAAUAUGAACCGAGUUUGGGCCUUAUUAGGCUCAAACCCGAUAUAGGUUCGGUCCUUUAAUUACCUAUAUAUAUAAUAUUUAUAUUUUGAUAUUACGUAUAAUUAUAUAUCCAAAUAUAUUAUUAUUAAAUACUAAAUUAUAUAAAUUAUAAAAUACAAAAAUACAUCUAAAGACUUUUCCAUGAGCUUUCUUAAGAGCCAAUAUUAGUAAUGCAUAACUGAAUCUCUAACUUUUCUUAUUAGUUGAGUAAAUUUUUGUGUUGGCUUGUUUGGAUAGAGUAUUAUUUAGAAUAAUUACUAUAGCACUUUUUGUGAUGGAUGUAUGUGAGAUAAAAAUGUGGUUGGAAAUAUAAAAGGUUGAUUGGAAAAUAUGUUUAUGAUGUAAGUAAAAUAUUAUUUGAAAUAAUAGUGUAUCCAAACAAACCCAAUAGGAUUUCUUUUUGGUCUACAAAUACAAAUCAUCAAGCAUGUUUGAAUUCAAAUCACAAGAUUAUAAAAAGUUUCAACUUUUAAAUAUGUAUUGGCUUAUGAUCGCAUGUUUUAUUACUAUUUUUCAUGCAUUUUGAACUAAUUAAAUAUAAAUAUUGUUGAAAAUUUUUUGAUUUAUAUACUUUUUAAGAACUAUUAUUUGUUCAUAUUUAUUUUUAAUAUUAUAGUCUUAUAAAUGUUAAAUUAGUUUUACAACUUAAUAGUUAUAGUAAUUGUAUUAAAAAAAUUAAAGAGUAAUAAGUGAGCUUGGACUAAAUGCAAUUAAAGCUCACAACCCGAAUAUUAUGUGAGUUGAGUAUGAGCUUUACAUUUAUGAACCCGAAACUCAUAGCCUGAAACCCGAAAAUGUUCCAAAUUAAAUGAGUUGAGUUUAAACUUAUGAAAGCCCGGCUCAUUAGGCUCGAUUGACAGGCCUACAUGGUAGGAAAUACAUUCGUUCAUUUUUCUUUUCUUUCAUUACUGCAAUUACAAUUACAAUAAGCACCACUACAAUUAGAGAUAUCAACGUUCUCCCUUUGGAGUCAGUUCUUCUUCUUUUUUUAAGAGCCACUUUAUACUUGGCCACUGUUUCUUGCAAUGACUGGACUAUAGUUUUGAAUUCUUCAUAUUUGGUCACCAGUUGGUUAUUUUGAAGCAUAAUGGCAGCUCUUGCAGUGUUCAUUUUUUCAUGUGCUCUUUGUAGCUGCUCAUUUUGUUGCUAUAAAUGGUUAAUCCUUGCCUGCAUUUCUUCCAUUUAGCCAUGAAAAUAUUCUCCAACUAGUUUUAUACCCAUUCGUUGAAUGAAAAUUGUCUAAAAAUAAUAAAUUAUUUAGUGUAGUUCAUAAAAAUAUUUUCAUAAAAUACAAAACUUAUUGUAUAAUCUAUUAUAACCUUUCUUAAAUACAUUGUUAUUAAAAAAUAGUCUUCUAAUGUAAAUUUAAACAUCUAAUUCAAUGAUUAAUAAUUCGAAAUGCACAAAAAAAAAAUCGACAAUAUGAUGACAUUCAAAAACUUGAAAAUAGGGAAGAUCAAAUCUUGGCUGAUCUUUUGUAAACAAAAGAAUGGCCAACCCGUUACCAAAACAUCAAUUUUGGUACUUAAUAUAAAUGGCUUAAAGGUUAAUGUGAAAAGAAAGAAGCCGAAUGAAAUAUUAAUAAAAGAUAAUAAUUCAGAAUCAAUCAAGUCAUAGGAACAUAGAAACCUUCUAAAUCUGUUCAUGGCUAAUAGAAACCAAAACAAAAACAUAAGAUGUAUUUUGCUAUUAAGUCAAAAACAUAAAAAAUAUAAAUUGUUUGAUGUAUAUUGUAUGACGUGAACUGCUGUAUGACAAUGAACUUGAUGCCUUGCCAUUUAUAUAAUCAAUGACACCUUCUUGUUUUUUAGAAGCUUUCUAUCAAAAUCUAAAAAAAAACAUUGAAAACUAUACAAAAUUUUUUUAACCCCAGAAACCCAGAAAAAAAAAAAAAUUAAUACGUUGUUGAAGACAAUUAAUAAAUUGUCAAAGGCAAUUAAAAAAUCGUGUGAAAACACAGUUUAAAAGGCCACUUCUAAAUCACUAACAAAAAAAAAAUAUUGUUCUACUUAAAUUGAAGAGUGAAUCCAUAAAUCGAAAUAACAAAUUAAUUACAAAAACCUUGCCAGAAAUAAAAAUCAAACUGUAACUUUUGAAGAGUUAGAAAAUUCAAAUUCAAUGAUCUAGCUAUGAAAAAAAUGUAGGAAAUUACAGACCACAUACAAGGAGCAUAAACAAAGUCCAAAUGCGGUCCUUGCAUUGAAGGAAAAAAAACGAAGUUCCAAAUCCGGUCCUUGCAUUGAAAAAAAAAAUUCCAAAAACAUUGUAGAAAAGUGUAAACAUCUGCACUGCUUGAUAAAGUGAUAAGUAAUAGAUCGAUAACCAUAUAUAUGAGUAAAAAUGUAGAGUAUUUUCGAUAGUGAUAAUCUGAUAAAGAUAAUCUAAUAUUUGAGUUGAUAUUUCGAACUUUUGAGUUGAAGAUGAGAGAGAGUUAAAAACAUAAUUCAAAAUUAUUUAUACUAAUCCCCUGGAAAUUUAGGCUUGAUGAUUAGGGUUAAGGGAAAAAAUGUGAGAGAAUGGAAGAGAUAAUUAUGAAAGAAUUAUCUAGAAUUGUAAAGUCAAGAGAAAAAAGAGAGAUAGAAUAGCGUAAGUUAUUAGGGGGUUAACUCAUAGAGUAUGUUGCAUCUACUUGCUAUAUCGAUAAGCCACAUGGGAAAGAGAUAAACUAAAAGGAUAAGAAUGAGAAUAAGACUUUAUUAUAUGUAUAUAUAUAUAUAUAUAUAUAUAUAUAUAUAUAUGAUUUCCAUUCCCUUUUUGCAUGUUUCAGGUUCUACCCCAUUUAAAAUACUUGCAUGCAUUAGUAUUCUAUUUUUAAAAAAAAUCCAAAAUUGGUGACUGUUAUUACCUUUGGUUCACUGAAAUUGUAUGAGAUUUGGACUUACCGAAUAUUUAGAACAUCCUAAGAAUUUUCUUCUUGGAUUGUGAACGGUCCAUGAAGUCCUUAGAGGUGCUAUUCAUACACACCUGCAUCUUGAGUUGAAGUUUGUUGCUUCAUAUGCAUUGCUUGAGUUGCAACUAUUUGAACUGUGUUUCAUGUGUGUAGAAGAAUUGUGCAUCUGUGAAAAAGAGGAAAUAAAAGGGGAAAAAUUAUGAGGAGAGGUGAUAGUACGUGGAGACAUUUAUAUUCAUUUGGAAAGAAGGCAAUUCUGUAAACAAAUUUCAACGGAUAAAAAGUGCAACCUACACGCUUUGUUUGACCGUCAAAUGUGUGAACGGUUGUUUUUUUAGUGUGCAAAGUGCCUAUAAACAUAAUUAGGGGUGUAUUGUGCAACAGUUAUGAAAGUUCAUGGGGGUUUUCUGCACUUAACCCUAAAACAUUUAGGGAUCAAACAAAAUAAUAGAAAAGUUUAUUAAACAUUCACUUCAUUUGAGAGAGUUGCUCUCGUAUUUGACCUUCCGUUUCUCUCUCUCUUUUUUUCUUUUCUGUUUCUCUCUUUUUCUUUUCUUGCAUUUUUUCGUCUUCUGUAUUAUUCCUUUUCUGAAUCUUCUUUUUCUUUUUCCCCCUCUUUCUUUAAUUUUUAAUCUUUGUCUUGUUUUCUUCCUUCACAAAAAUAAAAAAUCAUAUCAUCUUAUUAUUUACAUUCGUUUCCUUUAAUGCAUUUCAAGUUUUUUUUUAUUCAAAGCUUAAAUUAACAUUUCCUUUCCAUCCUCUGUCUCUCUUUCUUACUUUUUUCCUUUUAAUUUUUGAAUUUUGAUGUUAUAUAUGUAGUAAAUCUAUUUGGUAGAUGAAUUAAGCUUGAUUUUUAUUGUAUUUUUCUUCAAUAGAAUUGAGGAAAACAAAAAUGUCAAAAAUAGAAAGUCAGCAAAAAAAAUAAAAAGUGACUCAGAAAAAGAAAAACAAAAAAAUAGGUAUUCACCGAUUUUACCGAUUCUUGGUUAAACUUGACCUUUUACCGAGUUUGAUAGAAUUUUUGACUGGCAGAUAUUUGGGGGAUUUUUCUAUAAUGGAGACAGUACGGAUGUCUCCAGCAAGGGAAAAGCUGGCCAGAUGAAGCAUCCAUUGGCACCUGUCCAGCCACGGAAAUCAAGGCUGCAUGGAAACCGAAAGGAGAAUUGCUGAGCCGGUGUUGUUGCAGGCGCACAUGUUCCGGUUGGACUUCCACGUCAAACCAGAUGGCGAGAAAUCUUUGAUGUUCCAGUUGGACGUCCACAUCAUUGCAAGCGUGGAAAGAUGAUUAAUUUAAGAACGUUUACCAACGGAACACUAAAUUGCAAGUGGUCCCUAAAAAGAGUGGCCAGUGAAAGGGGUAAUUUCAGAAACAUCCCCCAAUAUUUUUAACAAUUUCUCUGAACUCCCUCUCCCUUAAAAAUUAAACAAUUACACAUAUCUCCCUUGGGAUUGAAAAAGACAAUUUAACUCUUAAAUAUUUUAAUAAAAUUCUCUUAUAUGGUAUACAUAUAUUUACAAUGAGUUUCCAAAUUAUUUGUUAAUUAUUUUUCCUUCUUAUUUUCAUCAAUAAAACUGUAGAACUGUC
RNAcentral lists this long non-coding RNA (9050 nucleotides) under Coffea arabica (coffee). Its description in RNAcentral is "long non-coding RNA (CARA_LNC004995)". Lineage: Eukaryota; Viridiplantae; Streptophyta; Magnoliopsida; Gentianales; Rubiaceae. The record is from RNAcentral.